RNAcentral lists this unclassified non-coding RNA (217 nucleotides) under Hevea brasiliensis (rubber tree). The record is from RNAcentral. Lineage: Eukaryota; Viridiplantae; Streptophyta; Magnoliopsida; Malpighiales; Euphorbiaceae.
CGGAAUCGGCACAAACCAUAACCUCGCCGACAGAGAAUGGAGGGGCUGAGAUCAGAUCGGUUGGGCUAAAACAAUAUCGGGGGAGAAAAUAUGGAAAACUCAGAGAAAUUUUUGAGGGUCCAUUGGUUGGUGAAAUUCUUCAUAAUACUUAGGUUGCGCAAACGGAAUACCGCCGGAAAACGCCAGAUUAUAUACAAAAGGAGACUCCGGGUUUGAG